GAGGAACCCGGAGUGUAAAAUACAGAGUCUGCAGUUGGACAGUAACAGACUGACCGAUGGCUGCACUGAUGCUCUGGUCUCCGCUCUCAGUACAAACCGCUCACUGAGGUUCCUG
Long non-coding RNA from Callorhinchus milii (elephant shark), 115 nucleotides. RefSeq lists it as uncharacterized. The record is from RefSeq and is a predicted model, not a curated record. NCBI's taxonomy places the organism in Eukaryota, Metazoa, Chordata, Chondrichthyes, Chimaeriformes, Callorhinchidae. The transcript has 2 exons.